AUAGGAGUGAAGCGGAAUAUUUUAAGCGGGCAACGCUAGCCUACAGUCGUAUUGUGCUGUACAUACAUCUAUGUUCUUGCCUUGUGCUCUCCAGCAUACUUCGGUCCCUGGUUCCCAUUCCAAUUACGCAAGCUGUGCUAAUGCCUUCGCAGAAAGAUGAAUAGCAAGCUUAGGCCUCCAGUAUAUGGGUUCACUUUUACUAGAUACGUUGCAGCUGGAAAAGUCAAAACGGAAAAAUGGGGUGAACUUACCAGCAGUCUUCGCACCUUCGACUGUGUGACCUAGUCUCCUCCGUACUUUGACUUCUGCUCAAACGACUAGUCUUUGUUGAGUAAUAGGGUUCCGAGUUAGAUCUUAUCCUGAAGAGCGAAGUUAGAUGCAGGAAA
RNAcentral lists this small RNA (386 nucleotides) under Histoplasma capsulatum var. duboisii H88. RNAcentral's name for it is "Histoplasma capsulatum H88 hypothetical RNA". The record is from RNAcentral. Lineage: Eukaryota; Fungi; Ascomycota; Eurotiomycetes; Onygenales; Ajellomycetaceae.